This 226-nucleotide ribosomal RNA is filed under the name uncultured bacterium. RNAcentral's name for it is "partial 16S ribosomal RNA". It matches the Rfam family "Bacterial small subunit ribosomal RNA", at positions 524 to 748 of the family's 1533-position model. The record is from RNAcentral.
UACGUAGGGCGCAAGCGUUUGUCCGGAAUUAUUGGGCGUAAAGAGCUCGUAGGCGGUUUGUCACGUCGGAUGUGAAAGCCCGGGGCUUAACCCCGGGUCUGCAUUCGAUACGGGGCAGACUGGAGUGUGGUAGGGGAGAUCGGAAUUCCUGUGUAGCGGUGAAAUGCGCAGAUAUCAGGAGGAACACCGGUGGCGAAGGCGGAUCUCUGGGCCAUUACUGACGCUG